This is a non-coding RNA of Mycena leptocephala, 103 nucleotides long. NCBI's taxonomy places the organism in Eukaryota, Fungi, Basidiomycota, Agaricomycetes, Agaricales, Mycenaceae. The record is from the annotation of a GenBank genome assembly.
GGCUUGGUAGCGGAGGGUCCACAUCUGCUUUCCAUUCAAGAUGCAUAUGUGUGAAAAUGGGUAAUGCAGAUAUUGAUUGCCUGUUCGACUCAGGCCCGAGCCG